UGGAACUGGAGUCACAGAGCUGUAAGCUGCCAGGUGUGUUUUGGGAAUUGAACUCGGGUCCUGUAACUGUCUGAUUUUGUACCUGUCGUUACUAACUCCGGGACAGUGAAGGUGCACGGGAUGCAGUGGACAGGCACAGCCCUGGCUCUGUGACUCACUCAGUACAGAACAAGUGGCCACUUAGAAGCAAUGGGCUCUAUGGCAAGAAUGUUUUAAUUGUUGGAAAAGUCUAAAGUAAUUUAGAUUUCAUUUGUAGGAGUUGUAUCUGAGUUUUCCAACUGCCAUGAAUUAUUUUAGUAAUAAAAUUGAAUAAAAACAGUACUAUGGCACUAUAUUUACUUUUAAGUACAUGUUAUAUUUACUUAGCACAUUCAAGAGAGGACUCUGGGAUUUUCAGGUGCAUAGCUUCUAGCUUUAUUGUCUAUUUACAGCACCCACUCCUUCCUCUAGUGGAUAAUGACCCAAUGAUUAUUCUUUCAGAGACACUGCAAUUAUAGAUUCAUUUAGUCUAAAUGAUGUGUUGUAUGUUGUGGGGCAGGUGGUAUUUUCUUGGAAUUUAUCAUAACUAAAAUAUUUUAGAUAUUAAAAUAUAAAAUUCCAAAGAUAUAAUCUUUCUCUUCAAAAUUCCCUACUGUUUCCCAGCACCUGUUGCUAUAGAGGAGCUGAAGCCAGCCACUCUUCUCUUCUUAUAGACAGCUUGCUGCUUUCUGAUCAGAUGUCUGAAGAUUCCGAUCCAGAAGGGCUCCCAGACAAGUACAGUGGUGACUCAGACUAGAGUGGAGCUCAUCUAGGACAAGCCAGCCAGCCUCCGGGAGGUCCUGCUAUGUGCAUUCAUCUAUGCCUAAACUGGCUCCAAGUUCACCUUUUUUAAAAAAGCAAUCAGUGUCUCAUAAAAGCAAUAAAGUGAUGAAUACUUGGUAA
Long non-coding RNA from Microtus ochrogaster (prairie vole), 921 nucleotides. RefSeq lists it as uncharacterized. The record is from RefSeq and is a predicted model, not a curated record. NCBI's taxonomy places the organism in Eukaryota, Metazoa, Chordata, Mammalia, Rodentia, Cricetidae. The transcript is spliced from 2 exons.